RNAcentral lists this ribosomal RNA (187 nucleotides) under Enterobacter hormaechei. Its description in RNAcentral is "partial 23S ribosomal RNA". It matches the Rfam family "Bacterial large subunit ribosomal RNA", at positions 1 to 189 of the family's 2925-position model. The record is from RNAcentral. Lineage: Bacteria; Pseudomonadati; Pseudomonadota; Gammaproteobacteria; Enterobacterales; Enterobacteriaceae.
GGUUAAGCGACUAAGCGUACACGGUGGAUGCCCUGGCAGUCAGAGGCGAUGAAGGACGUGCUAAUCUGCGAAAAGCGCCGGCGAGGUGAUAUGAACCUUUGACCCGGCGAUGUCCGAAUGGGGAAACCCAGUGCAAUCCGUUGCACUAUCGUUAACUGAAUACAUAGGUUAACGAGGCGAACCGGGG